This 226-nucleotide unclassified non-coding RNA is filed under the name uncultured fungus. Its description in RNAcentral is "sequence contains ITS1, 5.8S rRNA gene". The record is from RNAcentral. Lineage: Eukaryota; Fungi.
UCUCCGUAGGUGAACCUGCGGAGGGAUCAUUACUGAGUGAGGGUCUCCGGGCCCGACCUCCAACCCCAUGUGAACCGAAACCUGUUGCUUCGGGGGCGACCCUGCCGUUCGGCGCGGCGCCCCCGGGGUCAAUCAAACACUGCAUUCUCUGCGUCGGAGUAUUAGUAAAUCUAAUCAAAACUUUCAACAACGGAUCUCUUGGUUCUGGCAUCGAUGAAGAACGAGC